Bufo bufo (common toad) is the source of this 642-nucleotide long non-coding RNA. RefSeq lists it as uncharacterized. The transcript is spliced from 3 exons. The record is from RefSeq and is a predicted model, not a curated record. NCBI's taxonomy places the organism in Eukaryota, Metazoa, Chordata, Amphibia, Anura, Bufonidae.
AACAGCUGCUUUCGGUGAACGCGCGGGCAGCAGAUUUGCACAGCGCAGGGCUGUGUGAACGCGCAGGGGCAGCAGAUUCGCAUGAUCUCCUCUGCCAUGGCAUGCUUUUUGCUACGAAACUGCAGCCAUCUCGUCACUCAUUGGAGAAGGAUGAGAAGCUGCCCCCCAGCCAGAGGGACACAUCUGCCACCAAAUCCGUCGCUCACUGGAUUCUGUCAUCUCCGUCUCUGUGUCUCCCACAAUCCGUGUGUCUGUCUGCUGUAUAUGUGGACCGUCUGCUGCACUGCGUCUGUUCUGCCAUUUACUCUAACCUGUUUUUUUUUGUGUGUCCCAACUCUGACCAGCAUGUUCUCCUAUGGAACACGAAGUACCUGAAGUGGAUUGAAGAAGCCCAUGUUUGAGGCCCGCGCCCCCGGCUGGAGCAGUGAAGGGGCAUCUGACAGUCUUCCUCCUCCGUCGCAGGACACAGCGUUAGCCUCAGUCGAUCCAACAAAGAAAAAGGUAAGAUUGUUAGCUUGAAUAGUUACCUGUUGAAGACUGAAAGUGCACGUAAGGUAGUCUAAACUCUACCGUUUUGUUCUUAGACAAGUAUCUUACAUGGAGCUCUUCCUUAGUCUUCCUCCUCCUCCGUCGCAGGACACA